Molecule: non-coding RNA, 21 nt
Filed under: Rattus norvegicus (Norway rat)
Lineage: Eukaryota; Metazoa; Chordata; Mammalia; Rodentia; Muridae
Source: RNAcentral
CUUAAUUGCCUUGAUGGUCUC